This 165-nucleotide small RNA is filed under the name Theobroma cacao (cacao). Its description in RNAcentral is "sRNA Tc10v2_g008430". The record is from RNAcentral. Lineage: Eukaryota; Viridiplantae; Streptophyta; Magnoliopsida; Malvales; Malvaceae.
AGAGAAAAUUGGUGGAUUUCAAGUAAUCAAGCAAUCAAAGGUGGUGAAUCCUCCAAAAAAGGGUAAAAAAAUUGCACCCGAUGAUCAAUAGUCGAAGUACUCCAAAAUUCAAACUCCUGAUACAGCUCAGGAUAGUCGGUAGAUAGCUCACUUUGUUGAAGGCUA